Small nucleolar RNA from Suncus etruscus (white-toothed pygmy shrew), 133 nucleotides. The record is from RefSeq and is a predicted model, not a curated record. NCBI's taxonomy places the organism in Eukaryota, Metazoa, Chordata, Mammalia, Eulipotyphla, Soricidae.
UACCAAAGUAUAGUCUAAAUACUUCUUAUUGUUGCAGAUGUGAGGGAAACCAGGUUUGCUAAAGUAACUGUAGUGAUAGAAGUCGAUUAACUUCAGAUUCUACUGAGGUUGUCUAUUCUAUCCUAGGACAUGU